CGCGGCCUAUCAGCUUGUUGGUGAGGUAACGGCUCACCAAGGCAUCGACGGGUAGCUGGUCUGAGAGGACGAUCAGCCACACUGGGACUGAGACACGGCCCAGACUCCUACGGGAGGCAGCAGUAGGGAAUCUUGCGCAAUGGGGGAAACCCUGACGCAGCAACGCCGCGUGUGGGAUGACGGCUUUCGGGUUGUAAACCACUUUCAGUGAUGACGAAAAUGACGGUAAUCACAGAAGAAGGUCCGGCCAACUACGUGCCAGCAGCCGCGGUAACACGUAGGGACCGAGCGUUGUCCGGAUUUAUUGGGCGUAAAGAGCUCGUAGGCGGUUCUGUAAGUCGGAUGUGAAAACUCAGGGCUCAACCCUGAGACGCCAUCUGAUACUGCAGUGACUAGAGUCCGGUAGAGGAAGAUGGAAUUCCUGGUGUAGCGGUGGAAUGCGCAGAUAUCAGGAGGAACACCAAUGGCGAAGGCAGUCUUCUGGGCCGGUACUGACGCUGAGGAGCGAAAGCAUGGGGAGCAAACAGGAUUAGAUACCCUGGUAGUCCAUGCCGUAAACGUUGGGCACUAGGUGUGGGGUCUUCUAACGGAUUCCGUGCCGUAGCUAACGCAUUAAGUGCCCCGCCUGGGGAGUACGG
RNAcentral lists this ribosomal RNA (638 nucleotides) under uncultured Actinomycetes bacterium. RNAcentral describes it as "bacterial SSU rRNA". It matches the Rfam family "Bacterial small subunit ribosomal RNA", at positions 232 to 885 of the family's 1533-position model. Lineage: Bacteria; Bacillati; Actinomycetota; Actinomycetes. The record is from RNAcentral.